UGGCGAUAGUGGCAAACGGGUGAGUAACGCGUAGAAAUUUUCUCUUAGUGGGGGAUAGCUAGUCGAAAGAUUAGGUAAUACCGCAUGUGAACGCAAGUUUAAAGGAUUUAUUCGCUAAGAGUGAAGUCUGCGUCCCAUCAGCUUGUUGGUAAGGUAAUGGCUUACCAAGGGCUAAGACGGGUAGCUGGUCUGAGAGGAUGAUCAGUCACACUGGGACUGCGACACGGCCCAGACACCUACGGGUGGCAGCAGUGGGGAAUUUUCGGCAAUGGGGGCAACCCUGACCGAGCAAUGCCGCGUGCAGGAUGACGGCCCUAUGGGUUGUAGACUGCUGUGGAGUCUAUCUAAAUAAAUGAAGAAAACUCUAGAAAGAGGUUGCUAACUCUGUGCCAGCAGCAGCGGUAAUACAGAGACCUCAAGCGUUAUCCGGUAUUAUUGGGCGUAAAGCGUACCGAUCGGUUGUUAGCAUGUCUGGUGUGAAUAGACC
This 487-nucleotide ribosomal RNA is filed under the name uncultured bacterium. RNAcentral's name for it is "bacterial SSU rRNA". It matches the Rfam family "Bacterial small subunit ribosomal RNA", at positions 87 to 604 of the family's 1533-position model. The record is from RNAcentral.